GACAGAGGGUGCAAACGUUGUCCGGAAUUAUUGGGCGUAAAGAGCUCGUAGGCGGUCUGUCGCGUCUGCUGUGAAAACUCGGGGCUUAACCCCGGGCCUGCAGUGGGUACGGGCAGACUAGAGUGCGGUAGGGGAGACUGGAAUUCCUGGUGUAGCGGUGAAAUGCGCAGAUAUCAGGAGGAACACCGGUGGCGAAGGCGGGUCUCUGGGCCGUAACUGACGCUGAGGAGCGAAAGCGUGGGGAGCGAACAGG
RNAcentral lists this ribosomal RNA (253 nucleotides) under uncultured bacterium. Its description in RNAcentral is "partial 16S ribosomal RNA". It matches the Rfam family "Bacterial small subunit ribosomal RNA", at positions 524 to 776 of the family's 1533-position model. The record is from RNAcentral.